RNA transcript from Lynx canadensis (Canada lynx), 1078 nucleotides. It is a transcript of the gene named chromosome D2 C10orf143 homolog, with no coding region annotated. The record is from RefSeq and is a predicted model, not a curated record. Lineage: Eukaryota; Metazoa; Chordata; Mammalia; Carnivora; Felidae. The transcript has 5 exons.
GCGCACGUGGGGGGGGGGGCAAAGAGGCGUGGACACAGUGGCUGGGGCGGACGGCCGGAGUCCGUAGGUCAUGAGAGGCCCGUGGAUUCGGGCUUGGGGCCGCAGGGAUACCAUGGUGCCGGGCCCGUGGCGACGGCGGCGGCCGGAGGAGCUGCAGGUUCCGGGGGACGCGAAGCGGGUGUGCAGGAGACUCGAGGCGGCUGGGCAGGAGCGAGGCUGCCCCCCGGUGAAGGUGAGCGCCCCCAUGUCCUGGAGCGGCGAGGGGCUCCCUGACAGCGGCCAGCGGUGGCCACACGCGGGGAUUCCUCACAACGGUGGAAGGAACUCGGCCCAGCCUUGCCCGAGAUGUAUUGCGGGGGAAUCUGAGAAUUCCUGCGCGUUGUGCUUCAUUCCCUGGUGUAGUCCUUGAACAAGGGCGGAGGCAGAGAUCCAGCGGUCGGAACUUACUGUACUUUAGGUUGGUUCGUACAACAGCUGCACCUGCGCUGGAUACAAAUACGUGAUGUUUACCUGGAGAGACACAUUGGACAUCUUAGCCACACGGAGAACUAUUAGAAGGUGCAAGCGAGAAGGCUCCGGUCUGGGUUCCAGCCAUCCACGUGCCAGCGAGUGUCGUGUCCUGGACGGACGUGGGCGCCCACCUGUUCACGCUGCAGCCCGUUGUCCUCUCGCUCGGGUGACCCCCUUGUCCACCACGCCAGAGCCAGGAGGACCCCGUCCCCUCAGAGGAGCCUUCCGACCGUUGUUACCUGCCACAGCCUCCUUUCAGAUGCAUCGUUUGCAUCAUGUCAAAGUUAAAAAAAGAUCCAGCGUCAGAUUCCCUAUGAGGUUUGAGGGCCCAGUGGCUUAUGGAGUUUCGUCGGGGCUCUUCUGUCAGGCUUUCCAGUUGUUGUGUGGGUGUGUCCAGGGCUGCUUAUGCUCUUUUUUAACUAAAAGACUUAUUUUUAUAUUUAAAAUACUCUAUAAUCUUAACCUGGAUUUUACUAAAUGCUGGUAUCCAAUCUGUUCCAUGUAAUUCCCCAACCGAAGUUGUCAGGCACAGGGCUUCCUUUAUAUUAAAGUGAAAUUUCUUAUUUCU